Molecule: long non-coding RNA, 3089 nt
Filed under: Daucus carota (carrot)
Lineage: Eukaryota; Viridiplantae; Streptophyta; Magnoliopsida; Apiales; Apiaceae
Description: long non-coding RNA (DCAR_LNC004783)
Source: RNAcentral
CGCCAAUGGAUUUUUUUACUCAUUCUAUCUCAUUAACAUCUAUACUCAUCUAAAAGUACUUCAAACUAAAAACUAAUAUAACAUCUAUACUCAUCAAAAUCCUUCAAACUAAAAGCUAAUAAGAGCUCACACAUACUUACAUACUUGCAUAUAGAUAUAUACAUAUUCAAAUAGAAACUAAAGAGAAAACCCAUAUCACCCGUGCUUUAUGUGUCAUCACCGACCAGGGAUCCAGACCCCUUCCACUAAAUCCAUUCUGGGUCCACUGAAGCUCUUAGACUCCCAACAUGUCUCAGACAUGCUCCAUCCACGUCCAAGAGACCAAACUAGACCUCACCCCGGUAUCGCUAGACCCAUCCCGCCCUUACUAGAUCCCAUCAAGACCCACCUCAGUUACUAAUAUGAAAGUCAUUCAAACUCAAAACAAAUAAGAGCUCACACAUACUUUGCAUGUAGAAAUCUCAUCUCUGACUGUGAAACCUGACUCAACUUCAUAAUCACAUUAGUACAUUACACCUAUAAUAUUUAAAUGAAUCAUCAGAGUAAUCCGAAAUGACAAUUUAUAAAUAGAGAAAUAGUUGUCGUGCAAGGAAGAAAAUAUAUAAAAGAUUCAUUUAUCACAUCAAAGUAGAGCCAUUUACACCUCUUUGACAAGUGUAACGCAAAUUUUCUCCUUACUAUAAACCUUUAAAUUGCACUUCACAAAUCUAACUAGUUAUUGAAGCUCAUCAACCUAACAUACUUGUAUGUAUACCACUAGCUGAAACAAAAUAUUCUCAUCAAGUAUAAUGUAGCUUGUUUAAUAACAUUUCAUGAUUUCAAUUAAAAAAAACAACCGAUAUUCCAAAAUUAUGUUCAGAAUAUGACGAUAUGAGGUACUAUUAGGAAUAUACUUUGGAGUAUCGAUUUUAUAUUUGGUCAGACUAAAUUUUUAUGUUCAAAUAAAAUUUUCUUGUAUCAGCACAUUAAGAAAUGAGAUGAGCCGAGUGCGUCAUACAUAUUCACUAUUAAUUUUGUUCGUACUAAUAUUCCGGUUAGUAAGUAGUGAUUUAGUAUAAGUUUUUACAGUUUUACUACACACAUUUCUAAUUAUCUUAAAAUUAUAUCUAUAUAUUCUGAAAAACAGGUCCAUAGGUAGGCGUAUUUUUGAUAAAUACCUAUGUAUAUGUACCAUUAUAUAUACUCAAAUAUGCAUGUGUAUAUGUUUGUUAACAAAAAACAGUACAUAAUUACUUAAAUUCCUCAAAAGCCUGAAACCAUAUCGUAUUAUAUAUUAGUCAAAUAACUUGUGCAUUUAUUUUCCAAAGAUGUAAAGUGUAAACAACCUUUAAUUGUAUCAGAGUAUAAAAAGAGAGAGUUUAAAUUACAUCAGCACUUCAACUAGGUGUCUGUUAGAUUCCAUAUCUUUGAAGACAGGUGUAGGUGCUGUUGCUGUAGCUACCACCACUAACAGGUAAUAUAAGGACCAAGUUAGAUCAAUAGCAAGUAGGCUAAGAAAUAUGUAAUAUCCUGCAUAAAUGAUAAACUCAAAAACUAAGGUUUUGCUGAAAGAUUGCUAAAGCUGCCUGGCUACUUAAAGAAAGACAAUUACUGAUAAAACACUAAAAUAUAUACCAAAAAAAUUAAACAAACGUAGAUAGAAUAGAUUUUAUCAACUAAGUGAUACAUUUACCAAAUAGCUUAAUAUUUUGUUCAAAUAUGCUUGUCUUGUUUCACAAUAAUCUACUAAUGAGAAAAACACAUAAUCGAAUCAAUAUAUGGUACUUUAUAUUUGCAAAACAAUUAGAGCACACACUAAUUAGAAGGUAUUUUUAGUACUAACUUUCAUUGGAUAGUAAAAAUGAAGUAAUAAGGGUUUGAAAGAAAGAAUUAGCAAAUCUGCGUCAAUUUUGCAGUAAUUAAAAGAUCACAGAACAAAUGGGAGACUGAUUACGAGGCCAUUCAGAUUUUUUUUAUAGAAAAAAUGGGUAUGAAGUUCCUGAACUUUUGUUUUGGAAUAUCAGUGGCUCGUAUGCCACACUGGUGAUAGCAAAACAAACUGGAGUAGCUAUGCUUAGUGGAUUUUCGAAGAAUGUAUUCACUAUGUUUGGAUCAUGAUGGGGAAAUCAAUCUUAAGAUUGCAAUGGAACGUGCACUUUCUGGUAAAGAGUAUGCACGCUCUGUUAAGGGGUCAAGGAAUUUGUGAAAAUUAGGAGAAAAACCACGAUCAAACAUGGCAUCCGAAUUGUCCAAAACCUACAUGAAAAUGGACAAGCAUAUAGCAAGUUUUUUUAACAAAUACAGUCAAGUUGCUGCAGUAAGCUCAAUUAGUGUAGCUCAAGUAGGGUGCCAGAAGAAGUGUUUUUCAUACAAGCUGGUAUUUCAUUCAUUUUGUGGCAUGAGAUAAUCCAGACCUUGAGUGGGAUUCAAUGUGACUUUAGAUAACAUUUCUUUAGAUUUGUAUAAAAUGCAGCUAAAGUCUUCAAAGUUUUGUGACAUUGUAGAAGUGUAAAUAAUAAUUAAAAAGAUCAUGGCUUGCACAUAUAUGAAUAUAAAAAGAGUAAUCGAUCCAGUACCAAAGAUUGCAGCAGCCCAGAAAGUAAAAAAUCAAUAUAUUACCAAAAGCAUCUCCCUGUAUUGCUGAACUUUUUGCAUUUUAAGCUCUAAUCAGGACACCAAAGGACUGACUUUAAUGUUUGUAAGAUUGUAACAGAACCUUAAUGCGUACCUUUUAAUCCUUUUGAUCGAUGAUUAUCAUAUCAAUGCUCAUGAAGUUGUUGUACUUUGUGUUGACAGACUCCAUGCGACAGAGGAACCUGACCAACCAGUUUUCCAUAUGGUAAUCCAUGUCAGAAAGGUGAAUGCCAUAGUGGCACCAGUUGGUGCCCAAAUACAAAAAUCAAUAUAAUUGACAUUGAAAUAAACUUAAUAUAACAUAAAUAAUAGUAUAAAAUAUCUACAACUUUAUUAAUAAUCGUCUUUACUGUCUCUUAUAAAUAAUAAUAAUGGCCUGUGAAAUACACUUUAUAAUGACUUAGUGGAAUGGAUAGAAUUCAACACCAUUAACAAAUAUAUCAAUAGCCUGGAUGCCUCGUUGAAGAAACUCUCAU